UGCAUUGCAUGGUAUCUGCAUUCAGCAGUUUAUUCUGCUGGGUGUUCAAAGCACAAUGCUGAUAUAAAUUUAGUAUCUGGCAUCGUUGUUUUUCUUGGCUUUGCACAUGUUAGACCUGGCAUUUUUACUGAUACAGUA
Hippopotamus amphibius kiboko is the source of this 138-nucleotide small nucleolar RNA. RefSeq annotates it as small nucleolar RNA SNORA8. The record is from RefSeq and is a predicted model, not a curated record. NCBI's taxonomy places the organism in Eukaryota, Metazoa, Chordata, Mammalia, Artiodactyla, Hippopotamidae. The transcript has a single exon.